UACAGAGGUCUCAAGCGUUGUUCGGAUUCAUUGGGCGUAAAGGGUGCGUAGGUGGCGCGCUAAGUCAGGUGUGAAAUUUCGGAGCUUAACUCCGAAACUGCAUUUGAUACUGGCGUGCUUGAGGACUGGAGAGGAGACUGGAAUUCAUGGUGUAGCAGUGAAAUGCGUAGAUAUCGUGAGGAAGACCGGUGGCGAAGGCGGAUCUCUGGACAGUUCCUGACGCUGAGGCGCGAAGGCCAGGGGAGCAAACGGG
Molecule: ribosomal RNA, 253 nt
Filed under: uncultured bacterium
Lineage: Bacteria
Description: partial 16S ribosomal RNA
Rfam family: Bacterial small subunit ribosomal RNA
Source: RNAcentral